UGCGCAGGGCGUGCUUCAUGACGAUGUUGGGGAAGCUCACGCCCUUGAGGCGGGCGGUGCGGAUGUAUUGCGCGGUCAUGACCUCGGCCAUGGAGGCGCGGGUCAUGCGGGCGACGUAGCCCACGCCGUAAAGCGCGAUGGUGGCGACGGGCAGGGUGAUGUUGGCCCAUGUGAAGUCUUCCAUCG
This 186-nucleotide non-coding RNA is filed under the name Litoreibacter arenae DSM 19593. Its description in RNAcentral is "Ruegeria cis52 sRNA". It matches the Rfam family "Ruegeria cis52 sRNA". Rfam says of the family: Cis-encoded. Targets oligo/dipeptide ABC transporter. The record is from Rfam by way of RNAcentral. Lineage: Bacteria; Pseudomonadati; Pseudomonadota; Alphaproteobacteria; Rhodobacterales; Roseobacteraceae.